GAAAGAGACAGAAGGCCAUGGAAGACAGAAAAAAGGGAAGGAGGAGCACCAGAGGGAGUUGAUGGCAGUGAGAAUUCUUCAAUCCACUUGGCUGAUUAGGGCUGCUUGCAAGAUACCAGAGUUCCCUUACGGAAAGGGCCAAAUUGAAACUGAUAUUAGAGGAAAGAAACUCUCUUCGGUCUCUAACCUUACAAUAAGCUUUCACAAGUCAAAGCUGUUGGAGCCUGGGACAUACAGCACGGAAGAUGACUGAAGGAUCCACUGCUCUGCUGUGUCUGGACAGCUGCCUCAUGAGGCUUAGAGACGGAGGGGCCGAGACGGUCCAAGAACACAAGUCGACUCAUGGAAAAGACCAGAGACGAGGUGCAGGCUCAUGAACAACUCCAUCUUGAAGCAGCA
This is a long non-coding RNA of Mobula hypostoma (lesser devil ray), 399 nucleotides long. RefSeq lists it as uncharacterized. The transcript is spliced from 3 exons. The record is from RefSeq and is a predicted model, not a curated record. NCBI's taxonomy places the organism in Eukaryota, Metazoa, Chordata, Chondrichthyes, Myliobatiformes, Myliobatidae.